CACAGCCCCUAUCACCUCUUCAGCCAUUUCUUUUUAUCAAGAACCACCACAGGACUUCAAUUUUUGGUGAAAUAAGAAAAGGAUUUUGACCAAGGGGGUGUUUGGGAUGGCUUAUUUACGAUGCUUAUUGACUAAUUUUAGUCUGGUACUGACAAUAAAUUUGGAUGAGAAAAAAAAAUUUGGUUAUACCGGUGUCAAACAGGUUUUUGAUAAGUCAGUCUUAUCAAAAUCAACUUUUUUAACCCUGUAAUACCCUUUCUAUACCCUAUCCUCAACUGAUACGAACCACCGUCUGGGAGAAAUCAACAAAACCCUCCCCACCGCCUGUGAGAAGAAAUCGUCAUUGAAAACUUCCCCUGCUGAUUCGUUUCCUGUAUAACGUAUUGAGAUACGAACCAAAACCCUCCCUACCGCCUGUGAGAAAUCAUUGAUCUUCCAUUCGGUUUCUUUCUGUCUCAUCGUCGUCAGAAACUUCCCCUGCUGAAUUUGUUCUCCAGCAUAACGUGUUUUGAGGCUGGUGCUUUGGAUAUUUUUGCUAUUUUGUGCAUAGUUUUUGACAGCAGGAUUAGUUCGUUGAUUUGACGAUAUUGGAUUGAGAUUUGAAGAUGGAGAAAUUAGAAGACAAGUGGUGCAAGCGUUGGGCUAAACCAAGAAAUGAAGUGUAAAGAAGUCAAGUGAAGGAUGUGGAUGUGGGUGAUCAAAUGAAAAUCAACCCAAGGCCAAAGCCUUUUACCAUGGAGCCCAAAGAAUAAAUUAAUAAUUUUGCACGGUUCACUUCAAAGGCUAGAAGAAAAUUUGCAUGGCUGCUUAGAAACCAAAACCAAAACCAAAACCUGGCCAUGCAAGACGCCUGGGAUAUUUUGGUAAAUUCAUCUUGUGGGUAUAAAUACUUCUCCUAGGGUUUGAUUUUCUCUCUUCUUCUUCCCUUUUUGUUUCUCUGCAACGUCUAAGGUAUAGGUUUCUUUUUAUUUUAACAUUUGGUUCUUUGGAUUCUUCCUUUCAAUCAUUUAGAAUUAGGUUUUAGCUUUAGAUCUAGAUUUAUGUUAUUUUCUAUGUGAAUUCUUCGUUUUUUGCUAUUACGGAGAAAUCAUAAUUUUCUGGAUGGAAGAUGAAGAUGGGAGUUUUAUAAAUCCUCAUCAAUAACCAUCGCAUUGUAUCUCUAUAUCUUACCUUUUUGAUUAUUGAAUUUGUUCAUUUUU
Molecule: long non-coding RNA, 1199 nt
Organism: Cynara cardunculus var. scolymus (artichoke)
Lineage: Eukaryota; Viridiplantae; Streptophyta; Magnoliopsida; Asterales; Asteraceae
Exons: 3
Source: RefSeq, a predicted model, not a curated record